This 256-nucleotide ribosomal RNA is filed under the name uncultured bacterium. RNAcentral's name for it is "partial 16S ribosomal RNA". It matches the Rfam family "Bacterial small subunit ribosomal RNA", at positions 524 to 776 of the family's 1533-position model. The record is from RNAcentral.
UACAGAGGUCUCAAGCGUUGUUCGGAUUCAUUGGGCGUAAAGGGUGCGUAGGUGGCGUGGUAAGUCGGUGUGAAAUUUCGGAGCCUUAACUCCGAAACUGCAUUCGAUACUGCCGUGCUUGAGGACUGGAGAGGAGACUGGAAUUUACGGUGUAGCAGUGAAAUGCGUAGAGAGUCGAUAAGGAAGACCAGUGGCGAAGGCGGGUCUCUGGACAGUUCCUGACACUGAGGCACGGAAGGCCAGGGGAGCAAACGGG